AGGUGGCGCUGUGCUCGAGAACGCGCUCAUAAAUGUCACGCUGAGCUCUUCCUCGUCGCUGACCUCUGCUGCGGUACCGAAAUCAAGCGAAAAUGGUUCCUCCAGUACAAGUAUCACCUCUGAUUAAGACAGCCAGGUGGUCUGCACUGCUGGUUGGGAUUAUCUAUGGAAAGCGACGAUAUGAUCACCUGAAGCCAAUCGCAGAGGAGGAGAGGAGAAUUGAAGAAGAGGAAAAGAAGGUCCGAGAGGAGAAGGAGCGUAUUGCUAAACUGGAGGCCGAAGCUAAUGAGGACACAAUUCUGAAAUGAGCUGCCUGGAAAGAAGCCUGUUUUGUUGCCAUUGUGAAGAUCUACUUUUUAUCUCCCUGGAUAAAGAGUGACAUUUGUACUCCGCUCUUUUUAGUUUCAUGUUGCCUUUUUUCGCACCUUACACUGUUUUUCCUCUAUUUGAUCGUACCAGAGUAAUACCUGCUUUUCUGAAAUAGUCCCCGAGUAUGUUCAAAUAUAUGAGUGCGUUCAGUC
Molecule: long non-coding RNA, 521 nt
Organism: Triplophysa rosa
Lineage: Eukaryota; Metazoa; Chordata; Actinopteri; Cypriniformes; Nemacheilidae
Exons: 4
Source: RefSeq, a predicted model, not a curated record